AUUGAACGCUGGCGGCAGGCCUAACACAUGCAAGUCGAGCGGAUGAAGGGAGCUUGCUCCUGGAUUCAGCGGCGGACGGGUGAGUAAUGCCUAAGAAUCUGCCUGGUAGUGGGGGAUAACGUCCGGAAACGGGCGCUAAUACCGCAUACGUCCUGAGGGAGAAAGUGGGGGAUCUUCGGACCUCACGCUAUCAGAUGAGCCUAGGUCGGAUUAGCUAGUUGGUGGGGUAAAGGCCUACCAAGGCGACGAUCCGUAACUGGUCUGAGAGGAUGAUCAGUCACACUGGAACUGAGACACGGUCCAGACUCCUACGGGAGGCAGCAGUGGGGAAUAUUGGACAAUGGGCGAAAGCCUGAUCCAGCCAUGCCGCGUCUGUGAAGAAGGUCUUCGGAUUGUAAAGCACUUUAAGUUGGGAGGAAGGGCAGUGAGUUAAUACCUUGCUGUUUUGACGUUACCAACAGAAUAAGCACCGGCUAACUUCGUG
RNAcentral lists this ribosomal RNA (484 nucleotides) under uncultured bacterium. RNAcentral's name for it is "partial 16S ribosomal RNA". It matches the Rfam family "Bacterial small subunit ribosomal RNA", at positions 30 to 507 of the family's 1533-position model. The record is from RNAcentral.